This is a small nuclear RNA of Cebus imitator (Panamanian white-faced capuchin), 103 nucleotides long. Lineage: Eukaryota; Metazoa; Chordata; Mammalia; Primates; Cebidae. The record is from Ensembl.
GUGCUCAGUUGGACAGCAUAUAUACUAAAAUCAAAUGAUACAGAGAUUAGUAUGGCCCCUGCACAUGAAUGACAUGCAAAUUUGUGAAGUGUUUCAUAUUUUU